Numida meleagris (helmeted guineafowl) is the source of this 689-nucleotide long non-coding RNA. Lineage: Eukaryota; Metazoa; Chordata; Aves; Galliformes; Numididae. The record is from Ensembl.
AUUGGUGUCACCUGUUGGUGUCACCCAUUGCUGUCACCCAUUGUCACCCCUUGGUGUCACCCCUUGGUGUCACCCACUGCUGUCACCCAUUGCUGUCACCCAGCACUGUCACCCAUUGUCACCCCUUGGUGUCACCCGUUGGUGUCACCCGUUGGUGUCACCCACUGCUGUCACCCACUGCUGUCACCCAGCACUGUCACCCAUUGUCACCCAUUGGUGUCACCCACUGCUGUCACCCCUUGGUGUCACCCCUUGGUGUCACCCAUUGCUGUCACCCAUUGCUGUCACCCAUUGUCACCCCUUGGUGUCACCCAUUGGUGUCACCCAUUGUCACCCGUUGGUGUCACCCGUUGGUGUCACCCGGCGUCGCGGUGACAUCGCUGUCCCCAUUCCCCCCCCCAGAAGCUGAAGCGGCGGCGCCCGCCCUCCUCCCCCCCCCCAGACGCGGGGUCCGCUCCUCGUCACGCCCCCUUGGAGGACUCCGCCAACACCGGCCCUCCCCAGCUGUCCCUGCUCCAGCUGCGCCGCCGCCAGGUGGGUUGGCCCCACUGGAGGACCAACGUUGCCCCACUGGAGGACCAACGUUGCCCCACUGGAGGACCAACGUUGCCCCACUGGAGGACCAAUGUGUCCCCCCUGGAGGACCAACGUGGCCCCCCUGGAGGACCAACGUGGCCCCCCUGGAGGAC